UCAGCCAUCAACGCGGUGAUGGGAGGUCUGGCUCCUACCAACCUUCUGGCCACCCGGAUUGGACCGUGUUAUGCCAAUCCUAGUACGGAAAUAACUGUGUCAGAAAUGAGCCUUAACACGAGGCUGUACGACUCAUCAUUGAGUGGGGAGUUGAAUAUCACCAACGACCUUGAUAGGUGGCUGGGUCAUCAAGGGGAUAAUGCAAAAGUGCCAAGAUAUCCGCAACUUAGAUACUUGCGACUAUUUCAAAACCUUUACAGUUAUAAACAGUGGCUGCGUUGAAGAUGAAGAGAACGAAGAUCAAGAAAUUUACAGUAUGUUUUUCCACCAUGUUCACCCACGGAUGUCAUGUCCUGUAAGAGCGGGCAACUACAAAAUAGUCAACUAUCCCAUAUUCACUGAAGAUAACUAUUUGAUCGUGGCCGAAUCCAAAAUAUCAACCAGCGUUUUUGGUUACACUCUGCGACUUGAAGGUUACUCUUACACUGAAGCGAAUAGGUUACUCUGCGUCGAAGCCUACCUUCAGCUUUUGUACAUCCGAGAAUAUGAAGGGCGUGACGAGAGCCCUAAAGUGACCGCAGAACCCUCCAGUGAAGAAGAACGAGUAGCCAGUGAAGAAGAGGGAGAUGCUAGCGAGGAGUAG
Amyelois transitella is the source of this 643-nucleotide RNA transcript. RefSeq lists it as uncharacterized. Lineage: Eukaryota; Metazoa; Arthropoda; Insecta; Lepidoptera; Pyralidae. The record is from RefSeq and is a predicted model, not a curated record. The transcript is spliced from 5 exons.